UCCUCGUGGUGUAAUGGGUAGCACACUUGACUCACAACUAAAAGAUCUCAGAUUCAAUUCCUGAUUAAGGAA
Non-coding RNA from Halocaridina rubra (Hawaiian volcano shrimp), 72 nucleotides. NCBI's taxonomy places the organism in Eukaryota, Metazoa, Arthropoda, Malacostraca, Decapoda, Atyidae. The record is from the annotation of a GenBank genome assembly.